CAAUAGCGUAUAUUUAAGUUGUUGCAGUUAAAAAGCUCGUAGUUGGAUUUCGGUUAAGAGCGACCGGUCCGCCGUUUGGUGUGCACUGGUUGGUUUUAACUUCCUGUAGAGGACGUGCUCUGGGUUUAACGACCUGGACUCGGAGUCUACGUGGUUACUUUGAAAAAAUUAGAGUGUUCAAAGCGGGCUUACGCUUGAAUAUUUCAGCAUGGAAUAACACUAUAGGACUCCUGUCCUAUUUCGUUGGUCUCGGGACGGGAGUAAUGAUUAAGAGGAACAGUUGGGGGCAUUUGUAUUUCAUUGUCAGAGGUGAAAUUCUUGGAUUUAUGAAAGACGAACUUCUGCGAAAGCAUUUGCCAAGGAUGUUUUCAUUAA
RNAcentral lists this ribosomal RNA (375 nucleotides) under uncultured eukaryote. RNAcentral describes it as "partial 18S ribosomal RNA". It matches the Rfam family "Eukaryotic small subunit ribosomal RNA", at positions 592 to 976 of the family's 1831-position model. The record is from RNAcentral.